This 5255-nucleotide long non-coding RNA is filed under the name Medicago truncatula (barrel medic). RNAcentral describes it as "long non-coding RNA (MTRU_LNC008390)". The record is from RNAcentral. Lineage: Eukaryota; Viridiplantae; Streptophyta; Magnoliopsida; Fabales; Fabaceae.
AGAAAAGUGAGUUUGAGUUCUGCAAGGUUUGCAAAAUAAAUCAUGACCAAGGUCUUCGCCACAAGUAUUUCCCUAAGCACAAACAAUCCCUUUCCACCUUCCUCUCUCGCUUCAAAAACAAACUCUCCGAUGUUCGCUUCUUCCUCAAAACACCUUCUCCUCUUACUCCUCAACUUGCUUCCGGCAAUCGCUUCUGGUGUGUUUUCUGUGACCAAGAUAUCGAUGAGCACUCCAGUUCUUUUGCCUGGUAUCAAUUUUUUGUUUUCAAUUUAUGAACUAUUGUCCAGGUUUUCUUUAGCUAAAUUGUAAUGAACGUUCUCUUGUUCUCGAGGCAGUGAAAAUGCGAUUCGUCACCUAGCAAGUGUAGAACAUGUGAAUAAUUUGAAGCACUUCUUUUGGAAAUAUGGUGGCACAGUGGAUCAGCUGGAUGUGUUUACAGUUUCUCAUAAUGACGUUGCAAAGGUGCCAUAUAAAAUCUUAUGUCUGUUUUUUAGGGGAUUUUUUUUUUUUUUUUUAUAUAUAAAAUAACUCAUUAUAUAGAAUGCAUUUGCUCAUUAAGUUACAAAAAAGCAUUUGCUCAUCAUUUGUCAUUUCUUUGCUAGUGCAGUGGGACAAGAGGUGCGCAAACCUUAAAAAAGAAGCUUCAUUGCAAAGUGAGGAAAGUCCUGGAGCAGUUUUUGGACCUUCAAGUGAUAUCCAUAAUCAAUCGAACAAUGAAAAUAUUGAUAGUUUUAAAAAUAAUAUUUAUUCCAAUUCUGUGAACUCGAAUGUUGUUUUGCCUUUACACUGCUACACAAAUGAGUAUCAGGUAUCCUCUUCAGGUCACUCUGGAGUUGGAAAUACCGGCCUUUUAGAUAUUGGUAAAUCUUCUUUACCUUCGGAAGCAUGCUCCAGUGCGAAUACCCUUGCUUUGCAGGAUUUUGCAGGUAUGCUUACCCUGUCUAUUGGAAAUGUCAUUCCUUAUUCUUUACAAUUAUCGGUCACUUGCGGGAUUUGUUAAAAAGUUGAGACUUAUCUUCCGUGUGCUUAUGCUUUGUGUCUCAGCUGAACGGAGAAGUCACAAACUCCCUUAUAAUAGUGGACAAUGGUCAAGUGAUGGAUACUCAUGUAAUAAAGCGGUAAGUCUAUGUGUUGGGGGGAAGAGGGGAGGGUUUCUUAGGCUUUGACUCUUCUGCUUGAGAAUCUAACUAUUGAGUUUCAGACUUUCAGCAAUUGUUGGUUGAUGAUUUCAUUGGUUUGUAAGAUCAAUGUAUCUAAAGUUUUUCCUAAAGUUAUCUAAAAUUUUCUUGUCUUCAUGAUCAAGGAUUAUAGUUUGCUUCUCGCAAUGCAUGCUUGUAUAUUUUAUAAUCUCUAAUUUCUAUUUUCACAUUAUUCUGAUUGUUGCUCCCCUCUUGCUCUGUAGCUUUCUAAUGUCUAAUUUAAACACUGAUAAAGGCAUUGCAUUUCUUAUGAAUAUAGCAGGUUCUUGAUAAUGGUAAAGUGGUCAGCGGAGAGAGUGGUCCGCAAGGUGUUCAUCUAUCUAUAACUAUAUAUUUUUCUUAAGUUCUUAUAAUUCUAUAAAGUUGGGGAGCAUGUGCCAAUUGAAUAUGUAAUUUUUCAUAGCACUAUUGCAUUUGCACCUAUGUGCAAAAUAUUUGAAGACUUGAAUGCAGAAAAAAAAGUUCUCUGUGGCAUUAUGACUUGCUCUUAGAUAGAUAACAUUGAGGAGGCUGUGAAUGUGAUGGUAAACUAGUGUGCAUGAUGCAUUGUCUACUAAUGACUCUGCAUUUUCAGGUAUACAAAUGCUCACUCGGAUUUCUUUUGUGCCUGCUGAAAAUGGUGGUGGAAAUGUUCAUUCUGGAGCACCUCCGCCUUGGUUUGAAACAACUGAGGGAGUUCAGAUGCAUCCGAAGCCUGUUUUAGGAGACCUUGUCUCCCAUUCAAACAAGUCAGGGAAGCACAAAAAGUUGAAUCCUAAACGCGUUGGAGCUGCUUGGGCAGAAAAGAGAAAGAUUGAAAUGGAGAUGGAAAAGAGGGGAGAGACUGUGAGGAACGAAUGUGAUGCCAGCUGGCUUCCUAAUUUUGGUAGAGUCUGGCAAUCUGGCAGCAGAAGAGAAUCCAGAAAAGAAUUUGAAAAGGAGAAACAAGAGUUGUCAAAUGUUGAAGCUCAACCUGAGAUGCCAAUCAAGAUACAACCUUAUGUUAGCAAAAGAAUGGUGCGUUUUACAUUCUAAAUAUUAUGGGUUUGAUUUGUUUCAAAACUGUCUGUCAAAACCAGUCUGCUUUGUGCCUGACCGAGCCCAAGCUUGGCAUGUUUGGUAUAUGGGUUGCAAAAUGGGCAGAGUCAGGGGCGGUUGGUUUCAUAUCAAUGGGGUAGCAUUUGCUACCCCAAAAGAAAAAAAAAAUCUUGAAUAAUGUAGUAUAGUUUUGUAUGUAGCUACCCCAUUGAUAUAUUAUUUGGCUACUCCAAACAAUUUUUGUUGGUUUAAAGAAGGAUGAUAUCAAUAAAAUAUAGAUAAUCUAUUUAGUUUAGUAUCAAUUAUAGAUAAAUUUGACUUAAAACUUCAUAGAGCACAACUUUUAUAAAUAAUUAUUGUUAGAUUUUAUUUUCUUUACUGUCGUUUCAUUAAAUAUAAGUAAAAAUUAUCGUUAUUGAUUAAGUUCAAUAUAUUAGUUUUUAAAAUAUAUAUAUAUUUUUUGUAUUUGGCCUCCUCAUAAAUAUUGUGCUAGCUUCGCCGUUUUGCAGAGUACUUCAGACUGAUCAUACCACCAUGUCUAGAAUGGUGGUAUCAAUUGUAUACAGAUAAAACAAAUGCAUUUAAUUGGGCAGAUGCGGGUAGAUGAACUUCAGACUGAUCAUACCACCAUGCCCGACCCAACCCGCAAAAAACCGGAGGAAACAACCCGAUAUGUGCGGGUUAUAGCGGGUUAACGGGUCUACGGGUUAUAAACACGGGUAUUUAAGAGUUUAAUUGGGCAGAUGCGGGUAGAUGAACUUCAACCGCGGGUACCCGAACCCGCCCGCGAAUACAAAUAAUUUAUGGGAAUUGAUGAUAAUCAAAUGCAUUUAGGGAGUAAUAACUACUUUCAUUUGCGGUGCAAGUUUUUUAGCAAUAUAAUAACACCUUUGGUUGACCAAUUCAAUACUAUUUUAUAUCACAUUUAUUUUUAUUUACUACUAGGAUUUUACUUUGUAGUUAUUUCCUUUUAUGUUUUCCAUUGAAACGUUACAGCAAAACAUCAUCUCUCUCACGGCUUCUUCACCACCACCAUGCUCCAUCAGUAUCAAUUACUUUUCUUCAAACAUUAACACCAUGUUCUGUUAGUCUCCCUUAUUUUUCUUUUGACUACGUCCCUCCUCUUUUCUCUUCUGCAUCUUCUUUUACUUCUCAAAUCUCAGUUUUUAUUUCAAUUUUCAUUUUCUUCUUGAUGUUUUGUUGGUUGAUGAAUGAUGUAGAUCUGAGGUGAGGCUACUGUUUUUUCAAAUUUCUAUUAUGAAUCUUCUCAACCCGCGUGAACCCACCCGUAAACCCGCAACCCGAAAGACCCGAACCCGUGCAAACCGAAGAAGAAAAGCUAGCUUAAAUGGGUCUGUACACACAAACCGCGGGUUGAGCUGGGUCGAGCUUUCAGACCCGAACCCGCCCGUUGUCCACCCCUAGACUAGGUGGUACCCCAACCAUUAAACAAUUCAAAAAUGAUGAGUAACCCAGUAAUAGCGACUCAAAAGUUUAUUUGAGAUAAUCUGAUCGAAAAAGCACAAAACUCAGGAGCUGUGUGCUGCUUCGCCCUUGCAUUGCAUCAGAUACAAAUUGGAGUCACAGUGAACUCUCCUGGCCGGAAAACACACCAGAGUUGUCCGUGUAUCAGAAACUGUGAGGAAUUCCUUCUAAAUUUCCUUUUUUUUUUUAAUAAAUUAGAAUUUUCCUUCCCUUCUCCUGUAGCAUGCGAUUCCACCGCGAUGGUCACCCCUCAAAAGGCAACGCACUAAUGAUUGAAUUGCGUCGCAGAAAGAAAGAGAGGGGAGGGGCUUACGAUUGAAAAAGGUGCCUGGGAGAAUCUGAUUCCUAUUCAAAUCAUUGUUGUUUAAUGAAUAGUUGAAUACGUUUGCUCAAUUUCUGAUACUACCCUUAUUCACACACUUAUUGUUUCUUCAACUUUUCUUAUGAAACCAAUGUACUGGGUUACUCAUCAUUUUUGAAUUGUUUAAUGGUUGGGGUACCACAUACAAUAGAAAAGAUGACCUGUAUGUUCUGCAGUAAGGAGAGUAUAUGAGAUGGAGGAUAUUUAGAUCACUAGAGACAAAGACCUAGAAAAACUAUAUAAUAUGGUUUAUGAUAGAACAUUAUGGCAUGAUUUGAUCCAUGUAGCCGUCCCCACUUAGUGGGAUAAAGCUUGGUUGUUGUUGUUAUUUUCUUAUUUAUUUUUUGAAUGGUGUUCUUGUUGUUAUUGAUUGCUGUUGUCGCACCAUAUGAAAAAAUAAAAAAAGUUAUAGUCCAUUCGAGUUUUAAUUAGAAAAAACUCAAAAUUAAACCCAUAGUAAAUAAGUAAGGUGCUGAAGCUUGCAAUAAUUGCAUCUAUAGUUCAAUAUUUAUCUGUUUUUCUAAUUUUGUAACUGGCUGUUGGAGUUAUCAGCUUUUAGGCUUUACGAGCACUUCCCAUGGCUAAUGUUGGGCUGGUUGAGUAGUGCGGCCUUGCCCAAUAUAGACUCUGCCAUUUGGGACUUUAUUGUCAUUGUUACUUUACCAUUCAAACCAUUGAAAUGACAUUCUUGUCUACAUGAGAAAGUGUGAAUGAUAAGUUAAAUUCACCAUGGUGUUUUCGUUCGUAGGGACAGCCGAAAGAGAAUCCAUUUAUAAUGAGGGAGCAAUCUGAGAACAAGAGCAAGAGUGCCAAGCCUAAAACAGGCACAAAGGAGAAGAAGAAAAGUGAGUUUGAGUUCUGCAAGGUUUGCAAAAUAAAUCAUGACCAAGGUCUUCGCCACAAGUAUUUCCCUAAGCACAAACAAUCCCUUUCCACCUUCCUCUCUCGCUUCAAAAACAAACUCUCCGAUGUUCGCUUCUUCCUCAAAACACCUUCUCCUCUUACUCCUCAACUUGCUUCCGGCAAUCGCUUCUGGUGUGUUUUCUGUGACCAAGAUAUCGAUGAGCACUCCAGUUCUUUUGCCUGGUAUCAAUUUUUUGUUUUCAAUUUAUGAACUAUUGUCCAGGUUUUCUUUAGCUAAAUUGUAAUGAACGUUCUCUUGUUCUCGAGGCAGUGAAAAUGCGAUUCGUCAC